This 423-nucleotide ribosomal RNA is filed under the name uncultured bacterium. RNAcentral describes it as "bacterial SSU rRNA". It matches the Rfam family "Bacterial small subunit ribosomal RNA", at positions 355 to 775 of the family's 1533-position model. The record is from RNAcentral.
UGAGGAAUAUUGGUCAAUGGGCGGAAGCCUGAACCAGCCAUCCCGCGUGAAGGAAGAAGGCCUUAUGGGUUGUAAACCUCUUUUCUGUUUGAAGAAUAAGCUUGUCGUGACAAGUGAUGCCGGUAGGACGGGAAUAAGCAUCGGCUAACUCCGUGCCGGCAGCCGCGGUAAUACGGAGGAUGCAAGCGUUAUCCGGAUUUAUUGGGUUUAAAGGGUGCGCAGGUGGUUUAAUAAGUCAGUGGUGAAAGUCUGCCGCUUAACGGUAGGAUUGCCAUUGAUACUGUUGGACUUGAAUAUGGAUGAGGUAGGCGGAAUGUGUAGUGUAACGGUGAAAUGCUUAGAUAUUACACAGAACACCGAUUGCGAAGGCAGCUUACUAAUCCAUGAUUGACGCUGAGGCACGAAAGCGUGGGGAUCAAACAG